This 3012-nucleotide long non-coding RNA is filed under the name Sorghum bicolor (sorghum). RNAcentral describes it as "long non-coding RNA (SBIC_LNC008321)". Lineage: Eukaryota; Viridiplantae; Streptophyta; Magnoliopsida; Poales; Poaceae. The record is from RNAcentral.
GUCUCAUGGCUUCUAGAGUCUUCUAGAUGUAAGAUAAUUGUGCGGCACGUUAAUAUCUCUAUGUAAUCCCGACGUGUGGGCCUUUCUUCCGUAUUUCCUGAUAACCCCCUGCAGAAAUAGACAAACGCCAAAACUCGUGGAAUUCUGUCAGAUAAAACACUAAGUCUAGAUGUUGAUUUCAUUUGGAUCCUUUUCUUUGUUUAUUUGAUAAUUAAAUUUGAUACUUAAGGACCGUGAACAAACUCCCCCAAGCUUACCUCUUGCUCGUCCCUGAGCAAGGAUAGACUCAGCAAUGGAUCAGAAGUUGUUGCAAUAUCUUAAAAUUUUGACGGUACACAUGCUUUUAAAUAAGAUCUCAUCUCCGAGUUAGAGUAAACUGUCAAGAACUAAAACUUACUUUACCUUUCACAAUGGGACUUGUAACCAUCACUUCUGUCUUGAGUAGUUAAAAGAUAGAACAGUCUAGCCAAGUGCCAUGUCUCUUAUUCUUGAUCAGCUAUAGCUCUGGAGUUUUUGCAGAUUUUCAAAUAAAACUCAGAGAUUCCUUGUAUGACUCUCUAAAUCUCUCUUUUGUGGUAUUUCUGGAUCCUUACCAAGGCAGUGAUGGUAUAUGCCUUCUCUCAAGAUAUGUGGUAUUUGUGGUAUAAGGCAUAGUGACAUUGCCUUCUCUCUCACCCUACUCUAAUAAGGCUUUAAUAUGUGGAGCUCAUAGGUGGGAGAUAAAGUAUACAUACUUACAAGACAUUUAUUGUAUACUCAAACCAUGGAUCCAAAGAAACAAAUCAAUAAGCCAAAUCAAGAUGUGCAUGUGUGGCGAAUGAAUGGUGUAUGGUGAUGAUGGUGAUAACAAUGGUGAAAGUCUAAUUCUACUUUUGCUCUUUUGAGGGGAUACAUACCUUCCUUGCUUUUUGAAACUUUAUGAGGAGAAUGAGAUGCUCUAUCUUUCAUUUUUCUUUCCUCUCAGGUGGGUAUCCUGUACCCCUAAUUCUACUGUCGGACACUUGUCCAUUUUUACCUCUCGUCUCACUCUUUUUUUCUUUUGAGGUUCCGGGCACUUGCCCCUUUUUAUUUUCUCGUUUAUUUUUUUUCUUCUUUUUUUUCAGAGCACUCAUCUCUUGAGAUAAUAUAGCAAGUGGUAGUAGCAAGAUAACUUGAGCAUUUAUUUCACAAGGGAAAACAGAAAUAUUUUUGGCUAUUCUCUCCCGGAUUAGGAGUAGAAUAUUUUUGGGUGGUUCUGGAGAUGGACAUGGAUGGAUAUAUGUGGAUGGUACUUCCGGAGUAGAAGUAGCAUAUAUGAGUGAACGUGCAAGUGAAAUCUUGAUUUAAACACAUGACAAGCUCCUAAGGGUCUACACAGCUUGACCACACUCAAUGCUCAUAAUCAGUAAAUCAUAAAUGUGUGGCUCAAAGUCUAGCAAGCAUGUAUAUAUGGCUGUGGUAGGAAUUUAAACUCUCAUCAUACAGAAACUCAUCAUGCAAUAUUUUAAUGAUUUUUCAAAGAUAAAAUUCUCCAAAAUUCUAGCAUCUCUAGGAAUAGAUAAACAACAGCUCAACCUUCCCAUAUCAUAUCCGUUAACAACUUAGAUUACAGAUCAAGGUUUCAUCCCAUAAGUUUAGAUCUAGAGCAAGCUUUAAAUUAUAACAGUUAUGUCUAAACUUGAGAGAGAACUUCAAAUUUGCAAAUUAUGCAGCGCAACUAUUCAUCAUAUCCAUGCUAGAGUUUUAUUAUUAAGAUUCAGAUUAGCAUAGCCACUUUAUUUAUUUAUUAAACACACUAAGCAAAAGAUAUAUAUAUAUAUAUAAGCACAAAAAUCUUUAUUUGGUUUUUCAUAGUUUAUGUAUUUUAAUAUUCUAAUAUAAUAUAAGUAUAAAGAUAGGUAGAAAUACUUAGCGAGAUAAAUGGGGGUGCUCUCCCCCAAGCUGAAUUUUGACAUAAUUUCUCUUGAUGUAGCUAGCAGGUGGCAGAGGUGUAUUUGAAAGUCAGCAGCAUUCUGACAGCGAUUAGAAUGUCCUCCGUCUGCUAGUCUUCUUGAUUCUUAAAUUUUGUGGAGCUCAAAUAGACAACAAAGCUUGUGGAACUAAUUAAGUGUUAGCAUAAAUAUCUAGCCUUCAUCAUGUUGAGCUUCCUCAAUAAAUAUUACUCCCUGUUUUUAUAUUUUUAUUUUAUAAAGCAGAAAAGAAAUAUUUAUUUUAUUUUUAUGCCACCACAGUGAAGGUACUUAUGGGUUUUAUGCCACUCGUAUACUCACAUGGGGCUUAGUAUUUUUUAACAUUUUUAUUUUCUUUUCAAAAUAGCAUGAUUAACUAAUAAUCUAUUUAAGGAAAGUAAAUAAUUAAAGGGAAAAAGGGAAUGCAGAAAGGAUAAAUAUGGAUAACUACCGAUCUUACCUUUCGGCAAGGGUUCAAUGUUUUAAGUCUUCUUAACAAGACUGCUCACCGUGUUCAUUCUUCAGGUGCGUCAUUUGAUUCAGGUGCGGACCUUGACGUCUGCACAUCUUGAUACGGUGUCACCCAUGUUCUUCAUUUGCCCAGCAGUUCGAAGUGUAGCGUUGGCAGCUUCCUGCACAGUGUGUUUGUGCUCGUAGUGUACCUGCUCAUAGAGACAAGGCAGAGAUCAAGUGCAUGGGUCCUGUUGGUGGAAAACACCAACAGAACCUAAAGUGUAUUUGUUCUUCUCUAACCCUAAGCAUAGUGAGCAAGACAAAGUUGAUGGAUGAAAAGUUCAUGAGUGUAGCACUUAUAGCAUUUGUCAGAUCAGAUCGCUCAACCUUAUGGAGAGAUAAUCUAUCUAUGUAUAUGUCGUUUUCUUUAUAUCUCUCAAUGAUUGAAUGUGUAACAUUUUAGCUCAUAUGAUUAGGAGUGUGGGAUCAUGGAGGUAGUACUAAGAACAAGGAUUAAAGGACUAAGCAUGUUGAAUUAGUUGGGUUGGUUAAUCUAGAGUUGCAAAUCAUACAUGUUUGUCUCUUUUAUUUAUAUGAACGCUAGAACCAAGGAGAAGCUUAUAAAAGUGAU